UCAAAAGUCGCUAGUUGUUUUAAUCUUAAUGGUGAAAUACUAUGGAAAGACAAUGUAAGUAUCGGCAGACCAGAUGAUGGUAUAUAAAUAUCAGUUGAUGAUUGGGGUCAUUGUUAUAUACCAAGUGCUGGGGAUAAAAUUUAUCAUUAUUAUAUCAAACGACGGAAAACAACGAAAAUUGAUAUUUCCAGAGUCACAAUAUUUGGAUCCAAGGGCAGUAUAUUUUGAUAAAAGGAG
RNAcentral lists this long non-coding RNA (237 nucleotides) under Mytilus galloprovincialis (Mediterranean mussel). The record is from RNAcentral. Lineage: Eukaryota; Metazoa; Mollusca; Bivalvia; Mytilida; Mytilidae.